This 324-nucleotide ribosomal RNA is filed under the name uncultured eukaryote. RNAcentral's name for it is "partial 18S ribosomal RNA". It matches the Rfam family "Eukaryotic small subunit ribosomal RNA", at positions 1470 to 1796 of the family's 1831-position model. The record is from RNAcentral.
CCCUUAGAUGUUCUAGGCCGCACGCGCGCUACACUGAUGCAUUCAACGAGUUUCUUCCUGGUCCGAGAGGAAUGGGUAACCUUUUGAAAGUGCAUCGUGAUAGGGAUAGACUAUUGCAAUUAUUGGUCUUCAACGAGGAAUUCCUAGUAGACGUAGUUCAUCAGACUGCAUCGAUUACGUCCCUGCCCUUUGUACACACCGCCCGUCGCUCCUACCGAUUGAAUGCUCAGGUGAGCCAUUCGGACUUUCAUCAUGCUGGUUUCCAGUUUUGAUGAAGGAAAGUCUUGCGAACCUUAUCAUUUAGAGGAAGGAGAAGUCGUAACA